AUUGAACGCUGGCGGCAGGCCUAACACAUGCAAGUCGAGCGGAUGAAGGGAGCUUGCUCCUGGAUUCAGCGGAGGGCGGGUGAGUAAUGCAUACGAAUCUGCCUUGUAGUGGAGGCUAACGUCAGGAAACGGGCGCUAAUACCGCAUACGUCCUGAGGGAGAAAGUGGUGGUUCUUCGGUCAUCACGCUAUUAGAUGAGCCUAGGUCGGAUUAGCUCGUUGGUGGGGUAAAGGCCUACCAAGGCGACGAUCCGUAACUGGUCUGAGAGGAUGAUCGGUCACACUGGAACUGAGACACGGUCCAGACUCCUACGGGAGGCAGCAGUGGGGAAUAUUGGACAAUGGGCGAAAGCCUGAUCCAGCAAUGCCGCGUGUGUGAAGAAGGUCUUCGGAUUGUAAAGCGCUUUAAGUUGGGAGGAAGGGAAGUAAAUUAAUACCUUCCUGUCUUGACGUUACCAACAGAAAAAGCACCGGCUAACUACGUG
Molecule: ribosomal RNA, 484 nt
Filed under: uncultured bacterium
Lineage: Bacteria
Description: partial 16S ribosomal RNA
Rfam family: Bacterial small subunit ribosomal RNA
Source: RNAcentral